GAAAAAAAGGUCUCGUUGGUGACCAGCGGAGGGAUCAUUACCGAGUUUACAACUCCCAAACCCCUGUGAACAUACCAAUUGUUGCCUCGGCGGAUCAGCCCGCUCCCGGUAAAACGGGACGGCCCGCCAGAGGACCCCUAAACUCUGUUUCUAUAUGUAACUUCUGAGUAAAACCAUAAAUAAAUCAAAACUUUCAACAACGGAUCUCUUGGUUCUGGCAUCGAUGAAGAACGCAGCAAAAUGCGAUAAGUAAUGUGAAUUGCAGAAUUCAGUGAAUCAUCGAAUCUUUGAACGCACAUUGCGCCCGCCAGUAUUCUGGCGGGCAUGCCUGUUCGAGCGUCAUUUCAACCCUCAAGCCCCCGGGUUUGGUGUUGGGGAUCGGCGAGCCCUUGCGGCAAGCCGGCCCCGAAAUCUAGUGGCGGUCUCGCUGCAGCUUCCAUUGCGUAGUAGUAAAACCCUCGCAACUGGUACGCGGCGCGGCCAAGCCGUUAAACCCCCAACUUCUGAAUGUUGACCUCGGAUCAGGUAGGAAUACCCGCUGAACUUAAGCAUAUCUAA
This 558-nucleotide ribosomal RNA is filed under the name Fusarium sp. SPN-24. RNAcentral's name for it is "eukaryotic LSU rRNA". The stretch from base 189 to 342 matches the Rfam family "5.8S ribosomal RNA". The record is from RNAcentral. Lineage: Eukaryota; Fungi; Ascomycota; Sordariomycetes; Hypocreales; Nectriaceae.